RNAcentral lists this ribosomal RNA (407 nucleotides) under uncultured bacterium. RNAcentral's name for it is "partial 16S ribosomal RNA". It matches the Rfam family "Bacterial small subunit ribosomal RNA", at positions 355 to 774 of the family's 1533-position model. The record is from RNAcentral.
UGGGGAAUAUUGCACAAUGGGCGGAAGCCUGAUGCAGCAACGCCGCGUGCGGGAUGACGGCCUUCGGGUUGUAAACCGCUUUCGCCUGUGACGAAGCGUGAGUGACGGUGAUGGGUAAAGAAGCACCGGCUAACUACGUGCCAGCAGCCGCGGUGAUACGUAGGGUGCGAGCGUUGUCCGGAUUUAUUGGGCGUAAAGGGCUCGUAGGUGGUUGAUCGCGUCGGAAGUGUAAUCUUGGGGCUUAACCCUGAGCGUGCUUUCGAUACGGGUUGACUUGAGGAAGGUAGGGGAGAAUGGAAUUCCUGGUGGAGCGGUGGAAUGCGCAGAUAUCAGGAGGAACACCAGUGGCGAAGGCGGUUCUCUGGGCCUUUCCUGACGCUGAGGAGCGAAAGCGUGGGGAGCGAACA